AUCUAGUGCAACUGACUGAAUGGAAAACAGCUAACGUUAUUUCGACAGACUAAGGGUGUUUUGGCUGACUGAACCGUGACAACGCGGAGGAGAUAGACCAGGAAACGCUCUUGCUUUUAGACGACUCGACUAUAGCCUGAAGUUAAAGAAGAACAUGAAAGACUUACACGCAAAUGGGGCGGGGCUCAGGGGCUGUGUGUGGCUGGGGGUGUUUGAGAGGGAAAGACACAAAGGACAGCCAACCAGUAAAAGCACAGCCCCCUUCAUUGUCAAUGCAUUGUGCCUACAACAUCAAAGAGCCAUUCCAGAGUUAGGUGUCAGCCAGACUAGUGAUUGCCCCAUAUGACUUCAAAUUGUGUUAUG
This is a non-coding RNA of Salmo salar (Atlantic salmon), 363 nucleotides long. The record is from RefSeq and is a predicted model, not a curated record. NCBI's taxonomy places the organism in Eukaryota, Metazoa, Chordata, Actinopteri, Salmoniformes, Salmonidae.